Molecule: long non-coding RNA, 3807 nt
Organism: Anguilla rostrata (American eel)
Lineage: Eukaryota; Metazoa; Chordata; Actinopteri; Anguilliformes; Anguillidae
Exons: 3
Source: RefSeq, a predicted model, not a curated record
GACUGUUGCAGCUAAUAAAAAGUACAAAAUAUAUAAAACUCCGCCCAUCGAACACUCAGUUGAGCCAGUAAACCUAAGCAAGGAAAUGCGGUCCAAAAGAGAAACUGAAACUUAACGGGCAUUUUAAAAACGGAAGAGAAAGAAUCCCUAGAAAAGAAGGAAUUAAAAUAAAUGUAAAAAACGGAGCGAACAGCCUGUUGUGGAGUGGAACUGAGGUCUGCCAAUUUGGGUCAGAACCCACUUGUUCACUUGUUCCCUUUCCUUCUCCUCCGGUCUGUACCACUGGCUCUCCCUACUCUCGUAUCCUUAAACUUAAUGUUCAACAGUAUAUCUCUCCUCCCAUCAUUCCUACCCGAAUCUCUGUUAGAUAUCCCACUCAUUAUCCAGUCCGUGCUGUUACUGUUUCCAAUUUAAUUACAAUUCCCCUUCAGCUUCCUAUCACCAGCUCUGUUCCCAUUCUAUUUAAUCCAACUACCUUUAGAAACAGAAAAGGAUUAGGAAUUAUUCACUUAAAUAUUAGAAGUUUACUUCAGAAAUUAGAUCAUGUAAAUAUGCUAGUCAUGCAGACUGACCUGGAUAUACUGGUUUUAAGUGAAACUUGGCUUAAAAAUAGCAUCAGUGACUCAGAUGUAGCUCUAUUGGGUUACAACUUAUACAGAGUGGAUAGAACUGGUAGGGGAGGAGGGGUGAGUAUAUAUGUUAAAACAGGUUUCUCUGUAACAAUCUUAAAAGCUGUCACAAUUCCAAGAAAUUUUGAAUUCCUUGCACUGAAGGUUCAACUGGGGCCUAACUCAGUAAUUGUGGUUGGGGUCUAUAGACCCCAUCUGCUGAGUUAGGCUCCAUUGAUGCAAUAGCGGAUCUACUGUCCCAUUAUUCCAAUGCUGAAUUGAUUGUUAUGGGUGAUUUUAACUUGAACUGGCUGAAUGUUACUUCCAAUCAUUUCAAGGAGGUUAGUGCUGGCCUUAACUUAUUCCAACUAAUAACAGAACCCACUAGGCCAAAUCUGAAAGACAGCUCAAAAUCUACCCUAAUUGACCUUAUUUUUUCUAAUAGGGUUGAUAAUAUCACUGCCUGUGGUGUCUUUGAGCUUGGAAUCAGUGAUCAUUGCCCUGUUGGCUGCAUUAGAAGUACUCGGCUAAUGAAAACAAAAUCUCACAAGGUUAUGAGGAGAAAUCUAAGACAUUUAAUGAGCAAGCCUUUUUAUCUGACGUUUCCCAUAGUAACAUACAAUACACAUCUGAGAUUACUGAUGUCGACUUGGCUCUGGAUUUCUUCACAAAGACUCUUCUUUCUGUCAUUGACAGACAUGCUCCACUGAAAAAACUUAGGAUUAAAGAUAGAGUCACCCCUGGUUUUCACCUGAGCUAGCAGCUUUACUCAAAGAAAGGAAUAGAGCCUGGUCUCUUGCCAGACACUCCGGUGACCCUUCACAUUGGGCAGCUUUCAGGCAAAUCAGGAAUAGAUUCACAUCUUCGGUAAGAGUAGCCAAAUCCAAAUAUUACCUAGAUCUAAUUACCUGCUCCUAUGCUAACCCGGCUAAAUUCUGGAAGGCAGUGAACUCCAUCAAAACAGACCCACUACUUCCCUACCUUCACACAUUGAUUCUGGUGACUGUUUGAUCUCUGAUCUUAAUGAGGUUUGCCUAGCUUUCAACAAGCACUUUGCUGAGGCUGGGCAUUUAUUCGAAAAGGAAUAUACAGCACCCCCUCUUAUUAGUGAUGAUUGUGUAUAUACUAUGAACCAGGCCUUUCAGUUUUCCUUUCAGCCCUUCUCUGCUAGUGUUGUUUUUGAGACCUUGCAAACCAUUGAUCCCAGGAGCGCUACUGGAGAGGAUAAAUUAGAUCCCUUUUUUCUAAAAAUGGCUGCUCCAUUCAUUGCAGAGCAGUUAUCACACAUAUUCAAUCUUUCUAUUUCAACAGGAAUAUUCCCUAGUAUCUGGAAAUUGGCACAUGUAUUUCCACUGCACAAAGGAGGUGAUAGAAAUAAUCUAAACAAUUAUAGACCAAUCUCCAAAUUACCAUGCCUAGCUAAAAUUCUGGAAUCUCUGGCAAAUAAUCAACUCAAAGUAUUUCUUUCUAGUCAUUCAGUUCUAAGCCCACAUCAAUCCGGAUUUAGAGCCAAGCAUAGCACUAUCUCAGCUGUUACGCUAGUUACAAACAAUAUUAUGUCUGCUCUAGACAGUAAGAAACACUGUGCUGCCCUUUUUGUAGAUCUGUCUAAAGCUUUCGACACAGUCGAUCACGCUUUGCUUUUACAGAAGCUGUGCAGCAUUGGUUUAGAUGGUAAAGCUUGUGAUUGGUUUCAUAAUUACUUGUAUGGGAGAUUUCAGUGUGUGAAGUCUGGGAGCACCCAGUCUGGGUUCCUGCCUGUGUCGAAGGGGUUCCGCAGGGAUCAGUUCUGGGCCCUAUCCUUUUCACCAUUUACAUUAAUAAUAUUGUUUCCCCACUAAAUGAUUGUCAAGUCCAUCUAUACGCAGACGAUACUAUUGUAUAUUGUAUUGCUGAUUCUGCUCAGCUUGCCAUUGAGAAACUGCAGCUUGCUUUUAAUGCCCUUCAGGAGGCUCUUGUUAAGCUUAAGCUGGUUCUUAAUGCAAGCAAAACAAAAUUCAUGUUGUUUACUAGGGCCAGAAGCACUGAUUAUGAUAGCAUAUUUAUAUCCACUGCAAAUAGUUCUAAAAUUGAGAGAGUUUCUGAAUAUAAAUAUCUUGGCAUCUGGCUUGAUGAGAAAUUCUCAUUUAAAUUCCAUAUAGAUAAUCUUGUCAGCAAACUGAGACAAAAAAUUGGCUUCCUUUAUAGAAACAGAUCUUGCUUCCCUAUGAUCAGUAGAAAAAGAAUUGUUGAAGCAGUUUUCCUUUCAGUAUUAGACUAUGGUGACAUUAUUUAUAGAAUUGCUGCUCCUUCUUCCCUUAAGCGCUUGGACACAGUCUAUCACUCUGCCCUCAGAUUUAUUACUGGCGAUAGUUAUGGUACCCACCACUGUGUCCUCUAUGCCAAGGUGGGUCUGUCUUCUCUGGCAGUGAGGCGUGAUAAACACUGGUUUUUGUUUAUCUUUAAGGCCAUUGUCGGAAUGCUUCCACCUUAUAUUACAAGGUUGUUAGAGUGGCGCUCUGGACCCUAUCAAACCCGAUCAAAUGGCUUGCUUAUGCUUAAGGUCCCUCGGGCUCGAUCAGAAAUUGGGAAGUCAGCAUUCCAUUUUAGUGCCCCAUCCUCCUGGAAUGAGCUCCAACAAUUGCUGAAAAUCAGCUCUCUACCUACUUAUGGGCAGUUUAGAUCGCUGGUUUUGAACAUUCCUGUCUCUGAGUGCAUCUGUUUUUGAUCGUAUCUGUGCUGAUUUUAUUUAUUUAUUUUAUUAUUUUAUUUUAUUUUUAUUUUUAAUCAUAUUUUACUGUAUUUUAUUACUGUUAUUUUAUUAUUUACUAUGUUAGUUGCUGUUGCUAUAUUCUAUGAUCUUUUAUUACACCUAUUGUGUUUUAAUUGUGUUUGUAAUCUCGGCUACAUUGAAAAUGAGGGCCUGGCCCUCAAUUGUACCUCCGAGAAUUUAAAUAAAGGUUCUGACUUGUGAAUCUGAUUUGGUGUAUUCAGGUGUCCUGAGACAGGGGGCACUGUUUCUAAAAUGAGUUCCUCAGAGGAUACCGAGACUGACGAUGGAACCCAUGGCCCUGCGAGAAAGAGGGUCCGGGUAGAGAGGGCAGGGUCACCUGUACCCAGCUGUCUGUCUAUGAAGAGUGAUCAUUCAAUGCAUUUUCCAGACAACUUCAGAGGAGAGUUCACAGGUGAUCAAAGGUAAUGAAACAAGUUCAUACUGACA